This 1063-nucleotide ribosomal RNA is filed under the name uncultured bacterium. RNAcentral's name for it is "bacterial SSU rRNA". It matches the Rfam family "Bacterial small subunit ribosomal RNA", at positions 344 to 1397 of the family's 1533-position model. The record is from RNAcentral.
GGAGGCUGCAGUAGGGAAUCUUCCGCAAUGGACGAAAGUCUGACGGAGCAACGCCGCGUGAGUGACGAAGGUUUUCGGAUCGUAAAACUCUGUUGUGAGGGAAGAACAAGUGCCACUUAACUACUGGCACCUUGACGGUACCUCACCAGAAAGCCACGGCUAACUACGUGCCAGCAGCCGCGGUAAUACGUAGGUGACAAGCGUUGUCCGGAAUUAUUGGGCGUAAAGCGCGCGCAGGCGGUCCUUUAAGUCUGAUGUGAAAGCCCACGGCUCAACCGUGGAGGGUCACUGGAAACUGGAGGACUUGAGUGCAGAAGAGGAAAGUGGAAUUCCAUGUGUAGCGGUGAAAUGCGUAGAGAUGUGGAGGAACACCAGUGGCGAAGGCGACUUUCUGGUCUGUAACUGACGCUGAGGCGCGAAAGCGUGGGGAGCAAACAGGAUUAGAUACCCUGGUAGUCCACGCCGUAAACGAUGAGUGCUAAGUGUUAGGGGGUUUCCGCCCCUUAGUGCUGCAGCUAACGCAUUAAGCACUCCGCCUGGGGAGUACGGCCGCAAGGCUGAAACUCAAAGGAAAUUGACGGGGGCCCGCACAAAGCGGUGGAGCAUGUGGUUUAAUUYGAAGCAACGCGAAGAACCUUACCAGGUCUUGACAUCCCGCUGCCCGGUGUAGAGAUACGCCUUUCCCUUCGGGGACAGCGGUGACAGGUGGUGCAUGGUUGUCGUCAGCUCGUGUCGUGAGAUGUUGGGUUAAGUCCCGCAACGAGCGCAACCCUUGAUCUUAGUUGCCAGCAUUCAGUUGGGCACUCUAAGGUGACUGCCGGUGACAAACCGGAGGAAGGUGGGGAUGACGUCAAAUCAUCAUGCCCCUUAUGACCUGGGCUACACACGUGCUACAAUGGACGGUACAAAGGGCUGCCAACCCGCGAGGGGGAGCCAAUCCCAGAAAACCGUUCUCAGUUCGGAUUGCAGGCUGCAACUCGCCUGCAUGAAGCCGGAAUCGCUAGUAAUCGUGGAUCAGCAUGCCACGGUGAAUACGUUCCCGGGCCUUGUACACACCGCCCGU